RNAcentral lists this ribosomal RNA (207 nucleotides) under Escherichia coli. RNAcentral's name for it is "partial 23S ribosomal RNA". It matches the Rfam family "Bacterial large subunit ribosomal RNA", at positions 1669 to 1859 of the family's 2925-position model. The record is from RNAcentral. Lineage: Bacteria; Pseudomonadati; Pseudomonadota; Gammaproteobacteria; Enterobacterales; Enterobacteriaceae.
GGUAGAGAAUACCAAGGCGCUUGAGAGAACUCGGGUGAAGGAACUAGGCAAAAUGGUGCCGUAACUUCGGGAGAAGGCACGCUGAUAUGUAGGUGAAGUGAUUUACUCAUGGAGCUGAAAUCAGUCGAAGAUACCAGCUGGCUGCAACUGUUUAUUAAAAACACAGCACUGUGCAAACACGAAAGUGGACGUAUACGGUGUGACGCC